RNAcentral lists this ribosomal RNA (253 nucleotides) under uncultured bacterium. RNAcentral describes it as "partial 16S ribosomal RNA". It matches the Rfam family "Bacterial small subunit ribosomal RNA", at positions 524 to 776 of the family's 1533-position model. The record is from RNAcentral.
GACGUAGGAUGCAAGCGUUGUCCGGAAUUAUUGGGCGUAAAGAGUUCGUAGGUGGUUUACCAAGUCUGACGUUAAAGCCCGAAGCUCAACUUCGGUAUGGCAUCGGAAACUGGUAGGCUAGAGUCCGGAAGAGGAGAGUGGAAUUCCUGGUGUAGCGGUGAAAUGCGCAGAUAUCAGGAAGAACACCCGUGGCGAAGGCGGCUCUCUGGUACGUGACUGACGCUGAGACGCGAAAGCGUGGGGAGCGAACAGG